Lingula anatina is the source of this 229-nucleotide long non-coding RNA. Lineage: Eukaryota; Metazoa; Brachiopoda; Lingulata; Lingulida; Lingulidae. The record is from RefSeq and is a predicted model, not a curated record.
GCACAGUUGAGUAAAGACGCAACAUUAUGUGUGGUGAAUUCACAAGUUUCAGCUUUUAUAAGAUGUAGAAGCAAGUAUAUGAUUACACAAAUCUUUUUGUGAGAAGCCCACGGAGAAACUGUGCAAAAUGGGCCUGCAAGCAACUUUGGACCAACUUUUGUUGACAUAUAUCAUGCUCAGUUUCAUGUGUCUCUUAUAUCAAAUCCGAAUAAAUAUUUCUAUACUUCUU